CGCGUAGGUGGCUUGGUAAGUAGGGGGUGAAAUCUCGUGGCUCAACCGCGAGACGGCCUCCUAGACUGUCAGGCUCGAGCAGAGUAGAGGCAGGUGGAAUUCCCGGUGUAGCGGUGGAAUGCGUAGAGAUCGGGAAGAACAUCGGUGGCGAAGGCGGCCUGCUGGGCUCUUGCUGACACUGAGGCGCGACAGCGUGGGGAGCAAACAGGAUUAGAUACCCUGGUAGUCCACGCCGUAAACGAUGGGUACUAGGCGCUGGGGGGAGCGACCCCUUCGGUGCCGUCGUUAACACAGUAAGUACCCCGCCUGGGGAGUACGGCCGCAAGGCUGAA
This 332-nucleotide ribosomal RNA is filed under the name uncultured Gemmatimonas sp. RNAcentral describes it as "bacterial SSU rRNA". It matches the Rfam family "Bacterial small subunit ribosomal RNA", at positions 568 to 898 of the family's 1533-position model. Lineage: Bacteria; Pseudomonadati; Gemmatimonadota; Gemmatimonadia; Gemmatimonadales; Gemmatimonadaceae. The record is from RNAcentral.